AUGGCCCAGGUGCUUGGGCCCUGCACCCCAUGGGAGACCAGGAAAAGCACCUGGCUCCUGGCUCCUGCCAUCGGAUCGGUGCAGGUGCGCCGGCCGCAGCGCGCCGGCCGUGGCGGCCAUUGGAGGGUGAACCAACGGCAAAAGGAAGACCUUUCUCUCUGUCUCUCUCUCUCACUGUCCACUCUGCCUGUCAAAAGAAAAGGAGAACAGAAAGAAGGUAGAAUGUUAUGAGAAAAUGAAAAAGAAAGUAAAGAUAGGAAGAAAAAGGAAGAUGGGAAGUCAAGAGAAAACUACUUGUUUGUAAACUUCUUUGUAUUAAAAGAAAGUUGAAGCCGGCGCCGUGGCUCAAUAGGCUAAUCCUCCACCUUGCGGCGCCGGCACACCGGGUUCUAGUCCCGGUUGGGGCGCCGGAUUCUGUCCCGGUUGCCCCUCUUCCAGGCCAGCUCUCUGCUAUGGCCAGGGAGUGCAGUGGAGGAUGGCCCAGGUGCUUGGGCCCUGCACCCCAUGGGAGACCAGGAAAAGCACCUGGCUCCUGGCUCCUGCCAUCGGAUCAGCGCGGUGCGCCGGCUGCAGCGGCGGCCAUUGGAGGGUGAACCAACGGCAAAGGAAGACCUUUCUCUCUCUGUCUCUCUCUCUCACUGUCCACUCUGCCUGUCAAAAAUGACAAAAAAAAAAACAAACACAUACACAGGCGAGAUCAGACUAAAAGGAGGGUGGAGUCAUUCCUGACUGUAAAUAUUCUCUGAUAUUUGUAUUUGAGUGAUGAAGGCAAUGCCAGUCCUACUUCCUAACAGAGAAAUAUAUGCUCAAGUAUGAUAAAAAUGCUUUAAACAGUGAUAUUCAGAAACAUCUACAAUUAAAUGGAGGAAGCUUAAAGAUAGUUCACCUUCAGUUAUAUACUUCAAAUUAGAUAUUUCUUAUAUGAAAUAUUGUCAUAGCAGUUGCCAUGCAGAUUUAGAGAUUAAAAACAUUAAAUUAUCUAUCAAUUGUCAUCCAAAUCUAAUCAUUUUAAGAGAUAGUGGAACAGAAAAAAGCCUGAGGUUCUGGUAUGAAGCAGUUUGGCAUGCAACAUGUGUUAAUCAUACCAUAUGAGUCCUCAGUUAAAGUGGAAAGCUAAAGUUUUAUAGCUGAUAGUUGGGUCAGGAAUCUGAGGCACUAGGAACGAAAUAGUGAAUGACUGGAUACCCCAUUGGAUGACACUAGGAGAAGGAGUAAUGGCAAAAACAAUUACUCUUUGCCCCUUCAAAACAACUCACACAAGCUCCAAUCUUAGCUAAUCUAGCUCCUAACUGAGCUUUAGGAAUGUGCUUCCCUACCUAUUCUGCAGUUUCCUUAUGGAAAGGAACCUUGUCUUAUUCAUCUAAAUUUGUUUUUCACUUACCAUAAUUUCUAUCUCAUAGUAAUCAUUUUGAUACAUAAUUUCUGAAAAGGUAAUUAAACAAUGAAAAUUUUGUAGUAUAGUGGUUGAUGAAUUAAUGAGGCAGUGUCUGGAACUGAAAUCAAGUAGUGAUUGUCAGAGACCCCAGGAUUUGUAGUUAUGUCAGGUAGGAGAAGGUCCUUGGAGUUAUCACUCCAACAACUUCCACAGCAUUAUUGCUAUCUUUCAACACUGAGGAAUUUCGUCUACUUGGUGAAAUGUUUUCUGCUUGGCUACAUCUUCAGGAGUUGAAUUAUUUUUGCUAGCUUGUCUUCAGGAUCCAUCAAGAGCAAUCUCCUCCAUGUCACAGCACCUUUUCCUGAAAAAGAAUAAAAAUACAUUUGAGGGUUCA
Molecule: long non-coding RNA, 1769 nt
Filed under: Oryctolagus cuniculus (rabbit)
Lineage: Eukaryota; Metazoa; Chordata; Mammalia; Lagomorpha; Leporidae
Description: lncRNA (ENSOCUG00000039055.1)
Source: RNAcentral